RNAcentral lists this unclassified non-coding RNA (25 nucleotides) under Mus musculus (house mouse). Its description in RNAcentral is "oocyte_clustered_small_RNA12087". Lineage: Eukaryota; Metazoa; Chordata; Mammalia; Rodentia; Muridae. The record is from RNAcentral.
UAGAAUCUGCACAUUAAAGUGGCCU